This 497-nucleotide ribosomal RNA is filed under the name uncultured bacterium. Its description in RNAcentral is "partial 16S ribosomal RNA". It matches the Rfam family "Bacterial small subunit ribosomal RNA", at positions 28 to 507 of the family's 1533-position model. The record is from RNAcentral.
GAUGAACGCUGGCGGCGUGCCUAAUACAUGCAAGUCGAGCGAACAGACGAGGAGCUUGCUCCUCUGACGUUAGCGGCGGACGGGUGAGUAACACGUGGAUAACCUACCUAUAAGACUGGGAUAACUUCGGGAAACCGGAGCUAAUACCGGAUAAUAUAUUGAACCGCAUGGUUCAAAAGUGAAAGACGGUUUUGCGGUCACUUAUAGAUGGAUCCGCGCCGCAUUAGCUAGUUGGUAAGGUAACGGCUUACCAAGGCAACGAUGCGUAGCCGACCUGAGAGGGUGAUCGGCCACACUGGAACUGAGACACGGUCCAGACUCCUACGGGAGGCAGCAGUAGGGAAUCUUCCGCAAUGGGCGAAAGCCUGACGGAGCAACGCCGCGUGAGUGAUGAAGGUCUUCGGAUCGUAAAACUCUGUUAUUAGGGAAGAACAAAUGUGUAAGUAACUAUGCACGUCUUGACGGUACCUAAUCAGAAAGCCACGGCUAACUACGUG